RNAcentral lists this ribosomal RNA (253 nucleotides) under uncultured bacterium. RNAcentral describes it as "partial 16S ribosomal RNA". It matches the Rfam family "Bacterial small subunit ribosomal RNA", at positions 524 to 776 of the family's 1533-position model. The record is from RNAcentral.
UACGGAGGGUGCGAGCGUUAAUCGGAAUAACUGGGCGUAAAGGGCACGCAGGCGGGCUUGUAAGUGAGAUGUGAAAUCCCCGGGCUUAACCUGGGAAUAGCAUUUCAGACUAGGAGUCUAGAGUACUUUAGGGAGAGAGAGAAUUCCACGUGUAGCGGUGAAAUGCGCAGAGAUAUGGAGGAACACCGGUGGCGAAGGCGACUUUCUGGUCUGUAACUGACGCUGAUGUGCGAAAGCGAGGGGAUCAAACGGG